AGCGGCGGACGGGUGAGUAAUGCCUAGGAAAUUGCCCUGAUGUGGGGGAUAACCAUUGGAAACGAUGGCUAAUACCGCAUGAUGCCUACGGGCCAAAGAGGGGGACCUUCGGGCCUCUCGCGUCAGGAUAUGCCUAGGUGGGAUUAGCUAGUUGGUGAGGUAAGGGCUCACCAAGGCGACGAUCCCUAGCUGGUCUGAGAGGAUGAUCAGCCACACUGGAACUGAGACACGGUCCAGACUCCUACGGGAGGCAGCAGUGGGGAAUAUUGCACAAUGGGCGCAAGCCUGAUGCAGCCAUGCCGCGUGUGUGAAGAAGGCCUUCGGGUUGUAAAG
This 333-nucleotide ribosomal RNA is filed under the name Vibrio parahaemolyticus. RNAcentral's name for it is "bacterial SSU rRNA". It matches the Rfam family "Bacterial small subunit ribosomal RNA", at positions 94 to 430 of the family's 1533-position model. The record is from RNAcentral. Lineage: Bacteria; Pseudomonadati; Pseudomonadota; Gammaproteobacteria; Vibrionales; Vibrionaceae.